CUGUGCUGCCAAGUGACUGGACUUCCUUUAUCGUUGUCUUCCCAAUCUCAUUCCAGUGCCAGAUCAACCUUGGUUUGCAGAAGGGUUUAGCUAGACCACUGGCUCCCCCCUUUCAAAGGCUGAGAACAAAU
Small nucleolar RNA from Eleginops maclovinus (Patagonian blennie), 131 nucleotides. NCBI's taxonomy places the organism in Eukaryota, Metazoa, Chordata, Actinopteri, Perciformes, Eleginopidae. The record is from RefSeq and is a predicted model, not a curated record.